AGGACGAACGCUGGCGGUGUGCUUCACACAUGCAAGUCGAACGGGGAUAGCAAUAUUCUAGUGGCGGACGGGUGAGUAACGCGUGGGAAUCUGCCAUGGGGUGGGGGAUAGCAGACCGAAAAGGUCUAUUAAUACCGCAUAUGCCGAGAGGUAAAAGGAGUAAUCCGCCCGAUGAUGAGCCUGCGUCCGAUUAGCUUGUUGGUGGGGUAAAAGCCUACCAAGGCUACGAUCGGUAGCUGGUCUGAGAGGAUGAUCAGCCACAAUGGGACUGAGACACGGCCCAUACUCCUACGGGAGGCAGCAGUGGGGAAUUUUACGCAAUGGGGGAAACCCUGACGUAGCGACACCGCGUGAACGAAGAAGCCUUUUGGGGUGUAAAGUUCUGUCGGCUGGGACGAAUAAAUGACGGUACCAGCAAAGGAAGCAUCGGCUAACUACGUGCCAGCAGCCGC
This 452-nucleotide ribosomal RNA is filed under the name uncultured bacterium. RNAcentral describes it as "SSU rRNA". It matches the Rfam family "Bacterial small subunit ribosomal RNA", at positions 26 to 518 of the family's 1533-position model. The record is from RNAcentral.